GGGAUGACACAGUAGGAUAAGCUAAGCACACUGUUGGUUAUGUGUGCCCAAGCAUUGAGGCAGUCAAAGUAGGCAAAUCCGCUUUGAUAAUGCUGGGAUGUGAUGGGGAGCGAAAUUUAGUAGCGAAGUAGCUGAUUUCACACUGUCAAGAAAAGUCUCUAUCGAGGUUAAAGGUACCCGUACCGCAAACCGACACAGGUGGGUGAGGAGAGUAUCCUAAGGCCAGCGAGAGAACUGUUGUUAAGGAACUCGGCAAAAUGACCCCGUAACUUAGGGAUAAGGGGUGCCGCCAUCAGGUGGCCGCAGAGAAUAGGCCCAAGCGACUGUUUAC
This 331-nucleotide ribosomal RNA is filed under the name Clostridioides difficile. RNAcentral's name for it is "partial 23S ribosomal RNA". It matches the Rfam family "Bacterial large subunit ribosomal RNA", at positions 1466 to 1807 of the family's 2925-position model. The record is from RNAcentral. Lineage: Bacteria; Bacillati; Bacillota; Clostridia; Peptostreptococcales; Peptostreptococcaceae.